UACGUAGGGGGCAAGCGUUGUCCGGAAUUACUGGGCGUAAAGCGCGUGCAGGUGGCUAUAUCAGUCGGAUGUGAAAUUGCUUGGCUCAACCAAGCAGCUGUGUUCGAUACUGUAUGGCUUGAGUACGGAAGAGGAAAGUGGAAUGUACGGUGUAGCGGUGAAAUGCGUAGAUAUCGUAUAGAACACCUGUGGCGAAGGCGGCUUUCUGGUCCGAUACUGACACUGAGUAUGCGAAAGUCUGGGGAGCAAACGGGAUUAGAUACCCCUGUAGU
Molecule: ribosomal RNA, 272 nt
Filed under: uncultured archaeon
Lineage: Archaea
Description: partial 16S ribosomal RNA
Rfam family: Bacterial small subunit ribosomal RNA
Source: RNAcentral